This 492-nucleotide ribosomal RNA is filed under the name uncultured bacterium. Its description in RNAcentral is "partial 16S ribosomal RNA". It matches the Rfam family "Bacterial small subunit ribosomal RNA", at positions 29 to 507 of the family's 1533-position model. The record is from RNAcentral.
AGUGAACGCUGGCGGUAGGCCUAACACAUGCAAGUCGAACGGCAGCACAGUAAGAGCUUGCUCUUACGGGUGGCGAGUGGCGGACGGGUGAUGAAUACAUCGGAAUCUACUUUUUCGUGGGUGAUAACGUAGGGAAACUUACGCUAAUACCGCAUACGACCUACGGGUGAAAGCAGCGGAUCUUCGGACCUUGCGCGAUUGAAUGAGCCGAUGUCGGAUUAGCUAGUUGGCGGGGUAAAGGCCCACCAAGGCGACGAUCCGUAGCUGGUCUGAGAGGAUGAUCAGCCACACUGGAACUGAGACACGGUCCAGACUCCUACGGGAGGCAGCAGUGGGGAAUAUUGGACAAUGGGCGAAAGCCUGAUCCAGCCAUACCGCGUGGGUGAAGAAGGCCUUCGGGUUGUAAAGCCCUUUUGUUGGGAAAGAAAAGCAGCAGGUUAAUACCCCGCUGUUCUGACGGUACCCAAAGAAUAAGCACCGGCUAACUUCGUG